GGUGAGACACGGAAAAGACAGUCAAGUCCUCGCAGUUAACCAGCUUCUUCAUCAUUCUGAGAGGAGCUGAACGUCUGAGUGAUCCGCUGACCUGCACGCCGGACAGUUUCCAGGUAAAAAAAAAGAAAAGAAAAAAAGACCCAAUCAAAAACACCUGUUGCGUCCGGCUGACCUGUGAUUAUCAGCGCAACCCGCAGUGCUCAGUAUCAUUAACCAGGUACCAACAGCUCGGUACCCGCACACAGACCUGCUUGCACUUGUGAGCUCCGCGUUAUUUGUGUUUGUGAGCCAGCAGGUACAGGAAGAGCACGCGCGCUUCCCCCUGGACACCAAACGCCCGCCUCUGACCGCAGAGAGAUUCCCGCCUGCAGAACUUGUGUUAUCCGCACAGCUGGAAACUUUGCCUGGGAAUUUCUGUGCUCAAAAAUUUCAGUCAUUGUUUCUGGUCGUGUGUGUAACUUCCCAUCCCGGCCUUUAGCGCAGGGCUGCCUGCCACAUGGUUUGGAGGGAUUUCUUUAAAUCAUCUGUUUUAAAUCUGGGCUGCAUAAUUGAACUAUUUUACACAGCAGAGUCAACAUCAGUGUGACCAUUGUAUAAUUUGAUUUGUAUUAAAGCAGGACUACAACCUAACAGCCGCAUGCUGGUGGGCCUGACCUCUUCAUGCAUCUGCUGUCCGAGCAGGGUCUGAUCUCCAGAGGAUUUCAGCGGUUCCUUUAAGAACAUUGCCCAAACUGAAGCCGAUCACCUGUCCACAGAAGCAGCCACUUUUCUGGCUAUUCAGGUGUAGCUUCCAGUAGUUCAGUUGUGACAUAUCCCAUGGAGGGCAUGGCAGUGGUGUUACCACUUGCAGACAAACCUUCAGUAUUUCAGGUGUAGUUUCUUGAAGUCGAAGGUUUUCAAGAUGACUCAUAAAAAUCCAGAGGUUUUGAGCAGUUUCUGCCUUUGGAAACUCAAAACCUGUACUACAGGUAAAUCUGUGGUUACAUGUGCGAAGGUCAGAGGUCACUUGAGGUUUCAAACAUUCUGCAUUACGGGAUCUGCCACUUCAGGCGGGCCCCAGAGGGGGCUACUGCGGGAGGUGCUGUCAGAGUGAAACUAAGUUGAUUGAAUAUCAUGACCAAUAAACUGUGACCUUUAACACUAAAAUCCCCCCUGUAUUCUUAUUAAUGACUGAAGCUGUGGGAUGUAGUGGGCAUGGCAGGUGAGAUCUGACUGGCCUACAGCUUCACAAAUUCAUGGUGUAAAUGCUGAUGCAAUUUAUUACAUUUUGAGAUGCUACAAGUAAAAGCAACUUAUUAAAUUCAUUUUACUUAAAAAAAAAAAGUCCAACAUGUUGAUUCAUGAUUGGUAGAUUGCAUAAAGCCCUCGAUCAAAGAAAACAGACAACACAUGAAACCAAAGUCACAUCUGAAGCACAACAUACACAAAUACACGUCACUGUGAUCUGUACCCUCGCCAACUGGAAGCAUGUCCACUAGGUGGUGCUCUCAUCAAAGAAUAAAUUAGACCCACCUCAGUGGGUGCGCCAGCUCUGCUACAACCACAACUUUAACCGCCCCCCCCCCAAUUUGUAAAGUCCCUGAAAAACAACACGUAUAUGGCACAGAUCCCAUUCAGCAAGUCGCACGUACUAUAAUUCAAUGAUGGUUGCACGUUUGUUCAACGCACUGCAGACGAGAGAAAAUGGUUUCUGCUAACAGCACGGGGGCUUGUUCUCCACGCAGAUUUA
Molecule: long non-coding RNA, 1729 nt
Organism: Oreochromis niloticus (Nile tilapia)
Lineage: Eukaryota; Metazoa; Chordata; Actinopteri; Cichliformes; Cichlidae
Exons: 3
Source: RefSeq, a predicted model, not a curated record